Molecule: ribosomal RNA, 119 nt
Organism: Gadus morhua (Atlantic cod)
Lineage: Eukaryota; Metazoa; Chordata; Actinopteri; Gadiformes; Gadidae
Source: Ensembl
GCUUACGGCCAUACCACCAUAGGCACGCUCGAUCUCGUCUGAUAUCGGAAGCUAAUCAGGGUCGGGCCUGGUUAGUACUUGGAUGGGUUACCGCCUGGGAAUACCAGGUGCUGUAAGCA